This 497-nucleotide ribosomal RNA is filed under the name uncultured bacterium. RNAcentral describes it as "partial 16S ribosomal RNA". It matches the Rfam family "Bacterial small subunit ribosomal RNA", at positions 28 to 507 of the family's 1533-position model. The record is from RNAcentral.
GAUGAACGCUGGCGGCGUGCCUAAUACAUGCAAGUCGAGCGAACAGAUGAGGAGCUUGCUCCUCUGACGUUAGCGGCGGACGGGUGAGUAACACGUGGAUAACCUACCUAUAAGACUGGGAUAACUUCGGGAAACCGGAGCUAAUACCGGAUAAUAUAUUGAACCGCAUGGUUCAAUAGUGAAAGACGGUUUUGCUGUCACUUAUAGAUGGAUCCGCGCCGCAUUAGCUAGUUGGUAAGGUAACGGCUUACCAAGGCGACGAUGCGUAGCCGACCUGAGAGGGUGAUCGGCCACACUGGAACUGAGACACGGUCCAGACUCCUACGGGGGGCAGCAGUAGGGAAUCUUCCGCAAUGGGCGAAAGCCUGACGGAGCAACGCCGCGUGAGUGAUGAAGGUCUUCGGAUCGUAAAACUCUGUUAUUAGGGAAGAACAAAUGUGUAAGUAACUAUGCACGUCUUGACGGUACCUAAUCAGAAAGCCACGGCUAACUACGCG